Molecule: ribosomal RNA, 239 nt
Filed under: uncultured Lactobacillus sp.
Lineage: Bacteria; Bacillati; Bacillota; Bacilli; Lactobacillales; Lactobacillaceae
Description: partial 16S ribosomal RNA
Rfam family: Bacterial small subunit ribosomal RNA
Source: RNAcentral
UAACCUGCCCAAGAGAUCGGGAUAACACCUGGAAACAGAUGCUAAUACCGGAUAAUAACAGAUGAUGCCUAUCAACUGUUUAAAAGAUGGUUCUGCUAUCACUCUUGGAUGGACCUGCGGUGCAUUAGCUAGUUGGUAGGGUAACGGCCUACCAAGGCGAUGAUGCAUAGCCAGUUGAGAGACUGAUCGGCCACAUUGGGACUGAGACACGGCCCAAACUCCUACGGGAGGCAGCAGGG